GGACCCGCACAAGCGGUGGAGCAUGUGGUUUAAUUCGAUGCAACGCGAAGAACCUUACCUGGCCUUGACAUCCAUGGAACCCUGAAGAGAUUUAGGGGUGCCGUAAGGAACCAUGAGACAGGUGCUGCAUGGCUGUCGUCAGCUCGUGUCGUGAGAUGUUGGGUUAAGUCCCGCAACGAGCGCAACCCUUGUCCUUAGUUGCCAGCAUUCAGUUGGGCACUCUAAGGAGACCGCCGGUGACAAACCGGAGGAAGGUGGGGAUGACGUCAAGUCAUCAUGGCCUUUAUGGCCAGGGCUACACACGUGCUACAAUGGUAGGUACAGAGGGAAGCCAACGCGCGAGCGGGAGCCAAUCCCAGAAAACCUAUCGUAGUCCGGAUCGGAGUCUGCAACUCGACUCCGUGAAGUCGGAAUCGCUAGUAAUCGCAGAUCAGCAUUGCUGCGGUGAAUACGUUCCCGGGUCUU
This 465-nucleotide ribosomal RNA is filed under the name uncultured bacterium. RNAcentral describes it as "bacterial SSU rRNA". It matches the Rfam family "Bacterial small subunit ribosomal RNA", at positions 917 to 1382 of the family's 1533-position model. The record is from RNAcentral.